AUUGAACGCUGGCGGAAUGCUUUACACAUGCAAGUCGAACGGCAGCACGGGGGCAGCCCUGGUGGCGAGUGGCGAACGGGUGAGUAAUACAUCGGAACGUGCCCGGUCGUGGGGGAUAACGUAGCGAAAGUUACGCUAAUACCGCAUACGAUCUGAGGAUGAAAGCGGGGGACCUUCGGGCCUCGCGCGAUCGGAGCGGCCGAUGUCAGAUUAGGUAGUUGGUGGGGUAAAGGCCUACCAAGCCGACGAUCUGUAGCUGGUCUGAGAGGACGACCAGCCACACUGGGACUGAGACACGGCCCAGACUCCUACGGGAGGCAGCAGUGGGGAAUUUUGGACAAUGGGCGCAAGCCUGAUCCAGCCAUUCCGCGUGCAGGACGAAGGCCUUCGGGUUGUAAACUGCUUUUGUACGGAACGAAAAGGCUCUGGCUAAUACCUGGGGCUCAUGACGGUACCGUAAGGAUAAGCACCAGCUAACUACGUG
Molecule: ribosomal RNA, 484 nt
Filed under: uncultured bacterium
Lineage: Bacteria
Description: partial 16S ribosomal RNA
Rfam family: Bacterial small subunit ribosomal RNA
Source: RNAcentral